AAUUUUGGACAAUGGGGGCAACCCUUAUCCAGCCAUCCCGCGUGUGCGAUGAAUGCCUUCGUGUUGUAAAGCACUUUUGGCAGGUAAGAAAAGGCUCUGUUUAAUACCUACAGCUGCUGACGGUACCUGCAGAAUAAGCAUCGGCUAACUACGUUCAAGCAGCCGCGGUAAUACGUAGGGUGCAAGCGUUAAUCGGAAUUACUGGGCGUAAAGGGUGCGCAGGCGGUUUGGCAAGAAGGAUGUGAGAUCCCGGGGCUUAACCUCGGAACUGCAUUCUUAACUGCGAGGCUAGAGUAUGUCAGAGGGGGGUAGAAUUCCGCGUGUAGCAGUGAAAUGCGUAGAGAUGCGGAGGAAUACCGAUGGCGAAGGCAGCCCCCUGGGAUAAUACUGACGCUCAGGCACGAAAGCGUGGGGAGCAAAC
RNAcentral lists this ribosomal RNA (421 nucleotides) under uncultured bacterium. RNAcentral's name for it is "partial 16S ribosomal RNA". It matches the Rfam family "Bacterial small subunit ribosomal RNA", at positions 360 to 773 of the family's 1533-position model. The record is from RNAcentral.